This 413-nucleotide ribosomal RNA is filed under the name uncultured microorganism. RNAcentral describes it as "bacterial SSU rRNA". It matches the Rfam family "Archaeal small subunit ribosomal RNA", at positions 330 to 745 of the family's 1478-position model. The record is from RNAcentral.
GCGCAGCAGGCGAGAAACCUCCCCAAUGCCCGAAAGGGUGAGGGGUCACCCUGAGUGCCACCCUCGUGGUGGCUUUUGCGGGGUCUAAAAGCCCCGCGAAUAAGGGGAGGGCAAGACGGGUGUCAGCCGCCGCGGUAAUACCCGCUCCCCGAGUGGUGGGGACUAUUACUGGGCUUAAAAGCGUCCGUAGCCGGCUGGGUGUGUCCCCCGUUAAAAUCCACGGGCCUAACCCGUGGGCUGCGGGGGAUACUACCUGGCUUGGGGGUGGGAGAGGGCGGCGGUAUUCCCGGGGUAGGGGUAAAAUCCUUUGAUCCCCGGGAGGACCACCAGUGGCGAAGGCGGCCGCCCAGAACACGCCCGACGGUGAGGGACGAAAGCUGGGGGAGCAAAACGGGAUUAGAUACCCGUGUAGU